AUGGAUGCCGCCCUCUGCAGCUCCGUCGCCAAGACCGUGGGCCACCGCGUCCGGAGAUGGCCGGAUCUACCCCGGCCCGACGGCUUGCGCUUUCUUCCGCGUCCUCCCCAUCCCGCCACUGCCGCGUCCGGCAACCUCGUCUUCGCGCCUCCGCCUUGUUCCACUCGAUUUCUGCCUCCAUUCGCUGGCAAACAACAGCCUCCUUCAACCUCGUCGCCUCAAGCCCCUGCUUCGUCUCCUCCUACAUGGAUCCGUUCGCCCUCGCGUCGUUCCUGCGGGAUCAGACGCGUUCCGGCCGGGAAGAGCCCCGCCGCUGCGACCUCCUGCCUCCUGUCGCCAUGGCGCCACUGCCUUUCUUCUUCAGCGAAGGCAACAGCUCUGCAUCGAGCGCACGACCACCACGCGCGUGGGUCACUAGCUGGACUCUAG
This 429-nucleotide ribosomal RNA is filed under the name Triticum aestivum (bread wheat). RNAcentral describes it as "partial small subunit ribosomal RNA". The record is from RNAcentral. Lineage: Eukaryota; Viridiplantae; Streptophyta; Magnoliopsida; Poales; Poaceae.